Molecule: non-coding RNA, 225 nt
Filed under: Turicibacter sp.
Lineage: Bacteria; Bacillati; Bacillota; Erysipelotrichia; Erysipelotrichales; Turicibacteraceae
Description: T-box sequence
Rfam family: T-box leader
About the family: Uncharged tRNA acts as the effector for transcription antitermination of genes in the T-box leader family. T-boxes are found upstream of many aminoacyl-tRNA synthetase genes and some amino acid biosynthetic genes usually in Gram-positive bacteria. The anticodon of a specific tRNA base pairs to a specifier sequence within the T-box motif, and the NCCA acceptor tail of the tRNA base pairs to a conserved bulge in the T-box antiterminator hairpin.
Source: RNAcentral
AUAAAUCCUUUGACGAAGAAAGUAGCCAUAAGGUCAACUGCCAAGCGAGCUAGUGUUGGUGAGAGUCUAGUCAGUUCUUAUGUGUGAAACGCCCUUCUAUGGAAAUUAUCACAAAUAUACAUGAGUAUAGAGUAUGAUAAUUGGGUACUCCCCUUACAGAGCAGAGUGGAUACAAGUUUGUUGUAUCAAUUAGAGUGGUAACGCGGUCAGUAGGUCGUCUCUUAU